Molecule: ribosomal RNA, 254 nt
Filed under: Klebsiella pneumoniae
Lineage: Bacteria; Pseudomonadati; Pseudomonadota; Gammaproteobacteria; Enterobacterales; Enterobacteriaceae
Description: partial 16S ribosomal RNA
Rfam family: Bacterial small subunit ribosomal RNA
Source: RNAcentral
CCAGAGAUGGAUUGGUGCCUUCGGGAACUGUGAGACAGGUGAUGCAUGGCUGUCGUCAGCUCGUGUUGUGAAAUGUUGGGUUAAGUCCCGCAACGAGCGCAACCCUUAUCCUUUGUUGCCAGCGGUUCGGCCGGGAACUCAAAGGAGACUGCCAGUGAUAAACUGGAGGAAGGUGGGGAUGACGUCAAGUCAUCAUGGCCCUUACGACCAGGGCUACACACGUGCUACAAUGGCAUAUACAAAGAGAAGCGACC